ACUCCUACGGGAGGCAGCAGUAGGGAAUCUUCGGCAAUGGGCGAAAGCCUGACCGAGCAACGCCGCGUGAGUGAGGAAGGCCUUCGGGUAGUAAAACUCUGUUGUUUGGGAAGAAGGGAAAGGGUAGGCCCCUUAGGUGACGGUACCAGACGAGAAAGCCCCGGCUAACUACGUGCCAGCAGCCGCGGUAAU
Molecule: ribosomal RNA, 192 nt
Filed under: uncultured soil bacterium
Lineage: Bacteria
Description: partial 16S ribosomal RNA
Rfam family: Bacterial small subunit ribosomal RNA
Source: RNAcentral